UCCGCCGGGGGCUCGCGUUGCUCGGAAUCACUGGGCGUACAGGGUGCGUAGGCGGGUCUUUAAGUCAGGGGUGAAAUCCUGGAGCUCAACUCCAGAACUGCCUUUGAUACUGAAGAUCUUGAGUUCGGGAGAGGUGAGUGGAACUGCGAGUGUAGAGGUGAAAUUCGUAGAUAUUCGCAAGAACACCAGUGGCGAAGGCGGCUCACUGGCCCGGUACUGACGCUGAGGUGCGAAAGCGUGGGGAGCAAACAGG
Molecule: ribosomal RNA, 253 nt
Filed under: uncultured bacterium
Lineage: Bacteria
Description: partial 16S ribosomal RNA
Rfam family: Bacterial small subunit ribosomal RNA
Source: RNAcentral